This 363-nucleotide ribosomal RNA is filed under the name uncultured Cladosporium. RNAcentral describes it as "eukaryotic LSU rRNA". The stretch from base 25 to 178 matches the Rfam family "5.8S ribosomal RNA". The record is from RNAcentral. Lineage: Eukaryota; Fungi; Ascomycota; Dothideomycetes; Cladosporiales; Cladosporiaceae.
GAGUAAACUUAAUUAAUAAAUUAAAACUAUUAACAACGGAUCUCUGGGUUCUGGCAUCGAUGAAGAACGCAGCGAAAUGCGAUAAGUAAUGUGAAUUGCAGAAUUCAGUGAAUUAUCGAAUCUUUGAACGCACAUUGCGCCCCCUGGUAUUCCGGGGGGCAUGCCUGUUCGAGCGUCAUUUCACCACUCAAGCCUCGCUUGGUAUUGGGCAACGCGGUCCGCCGCGUGCCUCAAAUCGACCGGCUGGGUCUUCUGUCCCCUAAGCGUUGUGGAAACUAUUCGCUAAAGUCGUGUUCGGGAGGCUACGCCGUAAAACAACCCCAUUUCUAAGGUUGACCUCGGAUCAGGUAGGUUUCCCAUCCG